GUUUCAGUAUAAGUAUGUCCCAUGCAAUAUUUGGGAAAUAUUUAUACUCAAA
Myotis lucifugus (little brown bat) is the source of this 52-nucleotide non-coding RNA. NCBI's taxonomy places the organism in Eukaryota, Metazoa, Chordata, Mammalia, Chiroptera, Vespertilionidae. The record is from Rfam.